This is a long non-coding RNA of Labrus mixtus (cuckoo wrasse), 2293 nucleotides long. RefSeq lists it as uncharacterized. NCBI's taxonomy places the organism in Eukaryota, Metazoa, Chordata, Actinopteri, Labriformes, Labridae. The transcript is spliced from 2 exons. The record is from RefSeq and is a predicted model, not a curated record.
CUCAGAGCCACCACCCACUGCCGCUCGCUUUUGUCAGCAUCAUUUUUGAUGUCUCCCGGUCGACCUUGAGUGAUGUUGUUCCUCUCUUCUUCUUUUUCUUCUCUUAAGAGUUAGAGCAAAACAAAAGUUUGUUUUCUACUUCAAACAUCUUUGGCUGAGGAUUGAAGUGUGGGGGAGAAAAACUCUGCCUCCCACUCAGACGUUGAAAUAACCAACUUGAGAACUCAUGAAGGACACGCUGUAAACCCUUUCAGUCCUAUUUUUCACAUUUCUCAUCUUGCAGCGCCACAGACUCGACAUAUUGUUCUUGUUUUGCGCCCUGCUUGUUGUUGUAUCUCCAAGAUUGAGCAGUGCUAAACCGGUAAUAAUCUGAGGAGGAGGGGGAUUAAUGCUCCUUGGAGGAUGAUGUACCUUGGCUGCGAGCGUCCAGAGAGGGCCGGGGGAUAGAAAAGGACAUCCGCCUGAUUAUGUCGGACAGAAGGAAUCGUGUCAGCGUCUUGUAGGGCGAGCGGCAGGAGGCCAAACUACACUAAUCCUGCCGCUGUUGUGUCCUUCCUCACCCCCCCCCCCCCCCUUGACAACAUAGUGCUCAUUUGGAAACCGCUGCUGUGCAUUUGAGGUCAAGACGUUUGAGCGGAUUGUGGUGACUUUACAAGUUUACAACAAGCUGAGAGAUGAACAGCAAAUUAGCAGGAAGCUAAGACGUUUUUAAAGGCAUCUCAAUCAACCAAUCAACUUUAUUUGUAAAGCACUGAACACACAACACAGAGGUAGAAGAGAAGAGAAAAUCAGAAGUGAUGAAAGGAUAACACUUUAUCCUCGAUCUCUGCACAGACAGGUAGCCCUUUUCAGGCGGCUUUUUUCACAAAACUGAUGGAUAAAAAAUUACAUUUUUAUUUUUCUGUGAAUAAAGCAUAAAAACAAGAGGGGGUAGGACCAGAAAAGUUUUUAACUUCUUCCUAUCCCUUUUGAACAUGAACUUUAUUAUUUGAGUUAUUUAUUUGUUGCUAUGAAUCCUGAGGAUUCUGUUUGUUUUUUUCCUUUUUUAUUGCGUAUACUUUUUAUUUUGUUUGUAUUAUCUUAACAUUUUCAAGAAAUUGACUAAAAUAAAUACAUAGAAUUAAAAGCCAAUAGGCAACAGUUGGUAGGAUAUAUACAGGUCGUUCCCCAGCCUCGGGGCCCGGUCACCUUUAGUUUGAAGGUCGGCCUGAGGUAUCGUAAGUCUGCAAUGUAAUUUGGAGCUGAACCCCUACGAGCUUUAAAAGUGAUCACAAGAGUUUUAAAAUCAAUCAACUGAGAUCAGGAGUCAGGAGAAUAACUGGAGCAGUCCUCAUGAAAUGAUCUAGAUAUUUUGAUCUGAUAUAUGAAUAUAUGAAGUGCAUAUUUGGAAACGGCUCGAGAAAACUUUAUGUAUCCCAUAGGGCAGUUUGGGUUUACACUCUCCAAACACCAUUCAUACAUUUACAAACCAACAGCAGACAGGAGUUUCUCAGAGACAAUAAAGAGUCUGUAUAUUAACAGAGACGAGCGCUAGAAACCCGAAUCUGUUCAAACAUUUAAACAACAAGGAGUUAAUGCUGAACAGACCGAGAUUAUCUUAUUAAAAAAACAAACACUCGUCACACUCUCAGAGAGAAUGACGGUUUGUGUUUCUGUCUCUGUGAUUCCUCAGAAACACGUCUUUAAUCUCACAGCUCGACCCUUUCUGCCGCCGUGAUAAUCCCUGAUGCCCAUUUCUGGCCGAAACAACGCAAGUUCAUCAGAGGCCAUCUCAUCCGUUUAAAAACUUGUCAAGGAUUAAAAGAACAUCUUUUUUUUCUUGUGUUUCCGGGAAGAUUAACGUGUGUUCUCCCCCCCAAAAAAAAUCUGGGCCAAUGCAGAGCGCCAUGAAAACAAAAGCAUCUUCUGCUCUUCAGCUGAGCCUCCGGUCUCUGCCAGGCUGAAAUAUGACAUCAAUGUAGAUUAUAUUAGAGUUUAACAAAAACUGACUCUAUUAACUAUGUCAUCUGCAUAUGAAACAUUUAUUUAUUUGUAUUCCUCUCUUGGAGUUUAAUCUGUUAACGCAAAACAAAUCAGCUUGUUGGAAACUAACAUAAACUUAAGAAAAACCCUUUAACUAAAUUAAAAGAAGAAUGUGCAACAUGUUACACAUAAAUAUAUCAUAAAUCCAGUCUAUCCUGUGUAAAUGUGUCUCUGAGUCAUGACUGUCUACAAUGAGUGAGAAGCUCGAGUCCCGCUGGCUGUGUUGUUGUCAGAGCCGUGUUUACAUGGACGGGACGGCCGGCUCCUCCCC